GCCAACAUAGUGUAGUGGUUUGAGUGUUGGACUACAGCUCUACAGACCAGGGUUCGAUUCCCAGCUCAGCCA
This 72-nucleotide transfer RNA is filed under the name Phrynosoma platyrhinos (Desert horned lizard). RNAcentral's name for it is "tRNA-OTHER". Lineage: Eukaryota; Metazoa; Chordata; Lepidosauria; Squamata; Phrynosomatidae. The record is from RNAcentral.